Molecule: long non-coding RNA, 9967 nt
Organism: Miniopterus natalensis
Lineage: Eukaryota; Metazoa; Chordata; Mammalia; Chiroptera; Miniopteridae
Source: RefSeq, a predicted model, not a curated record
UCAAAUGCUGCUCUGGGAAUGUUUCCUGGACGGAAGGCAGGGCCGGGGGCGAGGUGAGCAGGGCCGGCCCCUCCGGGGUCAGUGAAAGAUGUUGGACGGCGGAACAUGUGCUUCCUUCAAGCCAUAUGUCUGCCGACCAUCACCUUUAGAAGUCCCCUGUCACUGAGGGAGCCCACUGGGUCAUGGCCUGGCCAUGGGACCCAACAUGACUUGGCUCCCACUUUUGAGGAGCUGGGUACGGAUUUGUCCUUUCCGGAACUCGUUCUCUCUUUGGUAUUUAAAAGGUGGAUAUUCCUUCUAUGUUUACGUCAUUCAUAGAUAAUCAUAGAGGAAAAUCCAUGUUUUCAGUAUCAAAUGCUGCUUUGGAAAUAUUUCCGGAAGGGACUGUGGGGCACGCCCUGCUCUCAGCCCCCUCGGCCCGGGCGGGUGGGAAAGGCCAUGGUGCACGCCGGGUCCUUCGGGCCUGCGCCUGAGCAUCGCCGGCCUUCUGAGCCAUUUCUUGCCAAGGAGCCAGCUGGGGCAAGGUUGCGCCGUGGGUCUGUGGUCCCGGUUACCUGGAAGCCUGUCUCCCCCGUGUCCCUGUCAUGUCUCAUGCAAGCACAGGUUCGCGUUCUCCGGGACAGAGUCCUUCCUUGGUAUUUAAAAGGUAGAUUCUCCUUCUAUGAGUACAUUACUUACGAUUAAUCAUAGAGGAAAAUCCACGUUUUCAGUAUCAAAUGCUGCUGGGAGACCUCCGAGGACGUGAAGUCACCAUCAAAGAAAUGUGGUCCCCAGGGCCCUCCCGGGACCGUGGCCCAGCUCUGUACGAGAUGGUCCACGUGGCCGUCCGCCCUCAGCGGGCCGUGUUGUUCAGAGGCUACACUCUGUAUUGCUUCAUUGACCUGAAAUGAGCUUUGUUCUCUGUGUGCUAUCAAGUUUAUAAUGUGAUUUUUGGAAUCAACCUCUUCUGCUGUAACCCUAGAGAAUGCCUAGGUAGCCUGUCAAGUUUAGGAAGGGGUGGGGUGGUGGGGGUGCCACUCCCGGGGACAUGGAAGGAAUGGAGCUGUGAUCCAGCCUGUUUAUCUUAGGCUCACCGCUGGAGCUGAUGAUAAUUUUGGGGGGGGGUGUCAAAAGGAUUUAUUAUUAUUUUAAUUUUAUUUUUUCCAUCACCAUUUAUCUCUUCUAUGCCUUCUUCCAUCUCUACCCACUCUUCUCCCCCUGAUGUGAACUUUGUCCCAUGAUAGUGACUUUCCCACCAGUGCUGUCACUGGCUCCUUAAAGGGAGGCUGUCCUCCCUGUGUUUGCAUUGUUUGUAAUGAAUGUACAAGGCAAGCUCUCUCUGGAGAGUGACACCUGCCUGGGGGGCUUCUUGGAGGCAAGGCUAGUGCUGCUCUUGCGUGUGCCAGUGCCAGUGCAUGGCUGACCACGGGCAUGCGCCUCUCUCAUGGGCCGUCUGUGGCUCGGUCCUCUCUCCCAUCUCAUCCCAUGCAUCCUACACAGAACUCUCCGGAAGAAAUGAUGGAGAUGGUGCAGGGGGUUUCUUUUUGUACCUGCUGUUUGUUUAGAAGGUGGUACCUUCCUUUGUGGGCCUUCUUAGUGGCACCCAUGUCUUACCAGACAUGAUGCCAGGCCCUGGGAGGCGACCUCAGGGUCAAUGCCUCCCAGGCAUGCCACCGAAUGGUCAACCGCAAAGUUAGCAUCUAAUUUAAAUUUGGGUCGUCUGGUUUACCACCCUCCACACCCAGCCCAUCCCUGGGCCAACUUCUGGGCCUUAAUGUCCAUUCGAAGUCAAGGGAUGGGUACGGGUGCCCAAAGCGCCAUGUUUUUAUAGGACUUGGCACCGGGACCUGGAAUCCCGUUCCCUCUAGUCCAUAGGCAUUUUCCAUCAUUGGCAAUCGUGAUGGAAAGACUGUGGCAUGACUGAGGCCACCGUCUGUUUCAUUAGAGCGGCCCGUGGGCAUUUCCUCUCCCCUUGGUGAGUCUCGCACUAGAUGACCGCCCUUAACCGCUCAGGCGGCUUCUGCUCACGGUGCCGAGUCCGGGAGAAGGGACUCUUGUCUUCGAGCCGCUGCACGAUUUGUGGAUGCAUGGGCGGUCGUGACGUGUUGGGUUUCCUCUUUUCUUUUUCUCUUUAAUGAUGCAUGCUCUUGUGGCUUCUAACCCCCAGCAGCCCUGUGUCAUCAGGUGCGCUUCCUAGAGGCAGUGGCUUUGGGCAGGGGCUGUCGUUCCUUCCCCAGGGUGGUUUUGCAGGCUCUGAUGGGAUGUCGUACAGGAUUCCUUCCCCUCCACUCUGUCUGUGGGGAGAUAAGCCUAUCUUAGAGAGACACUGGCUAGUACAGCCCAUUCCAGGGCUGGGUCACAGCACGUAGGGUGGAGGGUUGUCGCCGGCCCCACCCCUUUGGUCUCAGGCCCCCCAGGAACGCCCUCUGUGGACGGCACAUGUGGUCCUCACCGGAGCUGCUCUUUGGUACUUGAAAAGAGAAUACCCUUUGUAUGUUCACUUUAUUAAUGGUGAAUGUACAGGGGAGACUCUUAUUUGCGUAUCAAACUGCCCGGGAAGGCGCCCGGACCCAGAAGCAUCUUCAGGACACAGUCGCCGUAAUCAGCCCCAUCAGGUAUGUCCCGCUUCCCGGCCUGCACGCGGUGUCCUCUGUGAGCCUGGUCCCCAGGUCCCCCUCAGGGACUCUCCCGGAGGCCACGCCCUCUGUGCAGGCUUUCUAUUGUCUGCACUGAGUUGAAGGGUGGUUUGCUUUUUAAAAGAUGAACCAUGUUUGGACCUACCUUUUGUCAGUGCCCAGUCACAUCCAGGAGGCUUCCUCACAUCCAGCUCAGGAGAGAGGCCUCGAUGUCAGACGUGUGAAUGACAGUGGACCACAGAGCACCGGCUCUAUUUAUGAUGGUUUCAAGCCUGACUGACUUCUGUGAAUCCAUCCUGGAGGACUUCCUGGAGGUGGCGUCUGCCUUUGGGAAGAGGUGGAGGUUUACUCAUCAGUAGUCCUCAUUGGUGUUUGGUGGAUAUUCUCCUUGUAUGUGGCCCAUGAGAUGAAUCUGUAAGAGCUAUUUCUGUUUGUGAUUUGUGGUUCAAGUCCCACCUGGAGACAGUGUCCUCCACAGGAACUGCACGGCUUUGGGGAGAAGCCAGGCAGACAUCUCCCUGGGCCAGGUACGUGGAUGUUGGAAGGUCAGAGGGAAGGGCUUCUGUCUCGAUGUUUGUCCUCUGGCCCUCUGACCUCCUGUAUCUGCUCACUCCUAGGAUGCUGGCCGGGACAAAGGGGCUCUGGAGCUGUGUUGCUGGAGACAUUUCUUGGGCCGCGUGACUGCUUUGCUCGCCCUGACAGCCAUGGGGGUCACCUGGCCCUGAGGCCAGCAUCAGAGGAGGCGUGUGGCAAUGUCUCUCUUGUCAAGGAGAGUGAACGUCUUCCUCUGGAGGUCAGCCCCAAGGAGGCAUUCCUGGAACCCAGGCCGUCUUGCCCUUGAGACCCUGACUCGCGAACCCGAGACGCUCUGCUUCAUCAGAAGAGGUAUUUAUUACCUGUGAUGGCUUGGCUUACACCACACGCGUGGAUCUGUUGGCUUCUGAUUCUUUCUUUCUUUAUUUUGGGACCCGUUUUUAAAAAGUUAAACGUAUUGGGGGUGAUACUGGUUAAUAAGAUUAGAUAGGUUUCCACUGCACAAUUCUUAUCAGAUCCAUCCAUGGAGAAGGCUUUUAUUUUAUUUAAUUUUUUUGUUUUAGGGUUUGAACCUGCUUUGGAAGUCUUUCCAAAACGGUUCUAAUUUGGGAGUGUGGACCUCGGUAUCUGGGUCACGUCUAGGCCCCGGGACCAGGGCGCAGGACCGGGUGACGGGUGCCCACACCUGUACUCAUUACAGGACUUGACCACCUGGCUCGCUGGCCCUCGGGACUCAGCGCACCCUGAGAGGAAUGUUCCAGAGGAACGCCGAUGGUGGGGAGCGGCCGCGGUUUGCCUUUAGCUUAUUCGGGGAUGUUUGAGGAGAGGUUAUCCGUGCUAUGUUCGCUCCAUUCGUUAUGAAUAAUACAUGGUUAACUUCUUCUUGAACAUCAAACUCUGCCUCGGAGGGCCACCCGCACAGGAGACGUGAGAGCGUGUGCCUUGCGUGUGCGUGUGCCGGGCUGGUCCCGAGAGUAGAGGGGUGCUUCCCGGCGGGGGGCCAGCAUGGGACACGUGGGGUUGGUGUGCUGUGUUUUUUGCAGUGAAUUUGAUGUGUUUUUACGAUUUGUCCAGUCACCCCCUGCCACUGCUGACCUGCCUGGGAGUGCGGGGCCCGGGGAUGCGGUGGGUCCGUGGGCGCCUGACCAGGGAGGCUGCCCCCAGGCGUCGCGCUCUCCCCAGCACUGACCUCCGUACCGUCCUUUGCAGGGUGGCUCCUGCGCCCUCGGCUGCCCCGCUGGACAGGAUGUAGCUGCCGCUCCACGGGGACACCUGAGAGCCUCCUUCCUUCACCGAGGUUUCUCUGCGGGCAGUCUGUGCUCAGGGUCGGGAUGUCCCCAGGAUGCCCCCAGGUAUGUGAAAGACAGGCCAGCUUCUACUACCCAGCGGGUUCUCUCCGAGGUCGCUGCCCUGGUGUCCCUGUCCUCCUCAGGUGGACUUCCUGGAGGCGCCGCCGCAGAGCCCGGGGGCUUUCCUGUCCUUCCACUUGGUACCAGAGAGGCCUGAUCUGAGCUGCGGUCCCCCCGCUCCUCCGUGGUGAAGAGGGCAGGGCCGGCGCCUCUGCCUCCACAGCUCUGCAGUGUCCCCUCUGGGGCUGCGACACCGGCUUCCGAAUCCCCUUGCUUCUGGGGCAGGGAGGCCAGCCCAGCGCCCGGGUUUGGUGGGGGGUGGGUGUCACCUGUGCCCAUCACCUGCAGGCUCUCGUCUGUGUGGAGGGCGACAUCCUGCAGCUGCCGCCAAACCCGGCUGCUUCUUGUCCUCCUGACUUGACCCGAUUUGCGGUGGCCCUCACGGUGAGUGCUUCCCUGGAGCCGGGUCAGGAUGGGCGCUUGCUGGGGACGCCAGCUUCACAGUAAGAGGCCCGCCAGCCUCGCCCUGAGGUAUGUGGAUACACAGUCGACCCCGGUCCCUGCCUGUCACUGACGAAUAUGCUUCCCGUCCACUAACGCAGACAAUUCGUUCCGCCUGCAGGAGGAGACCGGAGAGACGCCUGCUUGGCACAGGCGCCAACGUUCUCAUCAGUGUCAGCGCGUGGGGCUCAACCCGGGACCAUCUGGGAGCUGUUUCACUGUUGGUGACAGAUAUCACCCCGUGGAAAGUGGUGUGGAGGUGUCCCAGCUUCGGGGAAGGGAUGGGUGUCUGCCCCGUCCCACAGUACCUGGGGGAGGGUCCAUGGGGUGAAGGACACUGUCCAUCUUUAGGGGACCCGUGCGGAUCAGGCCUUCUCAUGCUCAGCUCCACCCCAGCUCCCUCGGAGAGAGAACUGUGGUCGGUAUCUGUCGCAUACAUGAAAUGGUUUUCCAGCUCCCAGUGUCCAUCCUGCCCACGGGACCCCCUGGAAGAAAGGACACCUCCUUUCAGGGCAAGGUUUUGCCGCCAGUGUCAAUCCAAGGUUUAGGGAGGACUGGCAUGACCCCUGACCUUCCCUAGCAGCCAAUCUACCCAUGAGAGGAGGCAGGGGGGCUCCUACUCUGCCACAUCCAAGUGGGUGCUGCCCGCUGUCCGCUGCAGGGUCAGCCUAGCACGCUUCCUCUGUCAUAAACGGGAUGCUGGGUUAGUCCUUCCUGGGUGUAACUUGGCUUCGGGAAGGAUCACCUGCCCCACAACUUGAAAGAACGGUCAUUGCAGAGCCUGUGCCUUGAGCAGGAUUAAGUCGCGUAGCCCCCGGGCCGCAGCAUGGAGGCCUGGACGCUCUGCCCCGGGCUGAGCAGUGUCUCGUGGACUCUUGGGACUUCACUGUGUUUGUGGCUAAUCACAUCGGAGCUGCUGUUUUUCAGGACAGACCCCCGCCUGGAGAUGUGCCCCACAGGACCCCAGCAGGGCGUUGUCCAUGAUAGGGGAAUGGAUGGUUGAUCAGAGAACAUACAUUUUAUCAAUGAUGUAUGUCAACUGAUCCACAGUCCCUACCUAUCCAGUGACUUCGGGACAGAUUCCGGAAGAAGAGGUGUCGUUUCCUUCUCUGUGCUCGUACCUGGCCCCCGAAAAGACCUCCUCCUUGCUGGGUUGGCGCUGUUUACGCUGAGUUGUACGAGGGAAAUAGUUACAGUCCUGAUCUUGCCUGGGAAGCUUCCUGGGAAGAGCUGUUGGCCUCGGCUGCUUCCCGAGGACAGGAAUGCAUGGUCGUCCAGAGAGCAUGAGCCUUAUAUAGGACGGGCGCCACCCGGUUCUCCUAACCCUCAGUCCCCAAUUCGUCCUUAGGGGGACUAGCUGGAGGCAAGGCCCACUCCGGUGAAGACGGCUCAUCGGCGUAGCCUUCGGUACUUGAAGAGUGGUUAUCCCUGCUGUGUUCGCUGUAUUUAUGACGAAUCAUACAGGGACAUCCAGUUUUUCAGUAUCAAAUACUGCUUUGGAGGGCUUCCCAGACAGCAUUGCACCUUCAGAGAGGAGGUCUGGGCUUCUGUGCCUGCCCAAGGUAUGUACGUGGACGGUGGAGCUCGGCGCACAUGCUGCCUCGUGCUGCGUGGCCUUCGGCGCACCCGCGACCGGAAUCGAACCUCUGCAGAGGUGGCCGCCCAGGUGGGCUGCGCUCUUCCAGAAGGGGUGUUGGUUUCAGCACCAAAGCAUCCUGGGAGGCUGACCAGUGAGAAUCCUAUUCCCACAAAACACCUGGCACCUGCUCCGAAGGAACCCAAUCCUUUCGUAGGCUGGAUUCCUGGAGACGGUGCGAGCAUGAGGUGUGGCAGUGAUCUUGUCCGAUACCUAAGUGCAUUUGCUCCAGGGAGGGCUCUCUUUGAGGGUCAUCUCUUGCCCAGGAAAGCUUUCUGAAAGGAGUGCCAACGUGUUGGCAUCACACCCUCCCGGCGCACGUUGAGAGUUAGUUGAGCUGAGUUCCUCUUUGCUCCUCCUGACGGGUCUCAGUCGAUUCGCUGUCCUGCAGAACCCGCCUGUGUUUAUAAUCGCUCGGGGUGGGAUGAAUACCUGUUUGGGGCUUGAUGCCUUUUCAGUAGGCGCCUGGUGUUUCAAUGGUUGCCCUUUUUUCAUGAUCAGAUUCUCUUGUAAUUCACAUAACUACAUGGUCCUUGAAUUUGGUCCAUCAACGAGGAAUGAUUCAGUCAUUCCACAAAUAACGACUGGGUACGCGCUGAAUUCUAGAUGACCCAGGCUUUAGCCGUUUUUCUCUAAAGUUGGGGGUAGAGCUGUGAGCAAGACCAAACCCUUGCUCACGUGCAUUUCACAAUCUGGUGAGAAAAAUGGAUAAUAAAACGCAAACUAUGAAACAAAAUUUUGUCCACAGUAAGUGUUAUGGAGGAAAGGAAAGCAGGGUAAGGUACCAGAAAGAGGCAAACGUGGAGUGGACAUUUAUGUUAAAUAUAGGGGUCUGGAAAGGUCUCUGGGGAGAGGAUGGGCCAGAAGUUCUACAGGUGGGAUCGUUGCUGAGUUAGGGUUCUAGAGCAAGUCAGUGGGUAACCACGGGACUCAUGGAGAAGGUGCUGUGACCAGCAUUGCCAAGAUCCAAGCUGAGGCAGUGACCCUGGCACAGAAGGGCCAGGUGGGAUGGAGGCAAAGGUAGUUAGAAAUGAGGAACUCACCAGGCCAAGGCUGGGGAACUGUGGGCUGCAUCGAUGGCCAUGAGCACUGGGCUCUUAGGGUGGUGAAUUCAGGAAACGGGACCUGGUCCUACCGGUCCAAGCUUGUUUGAGAGAUGGUGGGUCAGUGGCUUUUCAUGGCAUCCUUCUUGGAAUUGCUUUCUUGGAUGGUUCGUUGGGAUGAGAUGAGUGGUGGAGCAGAGGGGAUGGGAAGGGACUCGGGGUCCCCUGGGAUGGUGAAGAGCUUGGUGAUCCUCCCUCAGAUCUUCCUGAGGGUGCGUCAAGGCCCCAGCUGAGCCGACUCUCCAGGAGCACCCUGCAGUGGCCACAGGGCUCUCUCUGGAGCUGCCCCCAGUUCAGUGGAUCCCGUAAGUCACGAGGGGGCUUGGCUAGUGCCUCUAUGUGCUUGAUGGAUAACUGAGUGUGCUCUGUUGAGAAGUCCAAGGUCCCUGUUCAGAAACCCUUGCGUCCACAUACAUGAAGAACUCCUGUGACAAGUUCACACUGUGAAGGACAACAGUGGCCUCCCUCUUCUCAUUUCUGAACCCUGCCCCUGAUGACUCAGGAACAGUUUCAACCCCAGGGCAGGGGGCUGUGUCGGCACCCCUCCAGAAGAGGACCACGCCGGAGGCCACGCCCCUCAGAGAAGUAGAAGGGGACCCAUGUCUGUCUGGUCUCUGCUUUUCUGUGGUACUUGAGGAGAAGUUGUUCGUGGUGGAUUCGCUUUACUUAUGACGAAUCAUUCACGGACAACACUUUUUUCAGUACCAAAUGCUACCUCUAAGGGCUUCCUGGACACAGCGGGACUCCAGGAAGACGUCUUCACGUUGUCAACCAUGUGGAGAAGACAAGAACAGAUGCUUGGCCAGGGACACCAUGCUUGACCUAGCUAGUCACCCUCCAAGACUUUGAAGAGCAGCUUCCCCGGCCCAAAGCCAACUUCUGGAAGAGAUGCUGGUGUGAGCACCAUCCAGGGUGUGUGACUGGUUUGACCAGAGGGGCAAGCACUGUUCACCCUGUGGGCCACCUAGUCACCAACCCUCAGCACCCCACCCACCCAGGAAGACUUUGUGGAGGUCCUGCCAACUUGGGGCAAGCAGAAAUGGACUUGUGGCAGUGGCUGUUUAUUGGACCUGGACAGCCGUGGUUGGGAGGGUGUGUGUUCACUUAAAAUGUGAUGAAUCAUCCUUUGGUUGCCACUUCAUCACUGUCACUGUCACAGCCUCCUCGAAGCAUUCCUGGGAUUCGACAUUGCCUUCUACCGAGAGACCUGAAGCUCGCGGGCCACCUCCUCUCCAUGGAGUUGGUCAUGGUUCAUCUUAAGAGCCAAAGGGCUACCGUGACGUGCUGACUUUAUGGCAGCCGUCAAACGGUGCCCCUGUUGGCCAGGAGGACGAACUGCACCCACCCACUUAGGGGCUCCCGGGAGGGGCGGCGCCUUGCAGGAGGGACGAUGGAUGGCUCACCAGCAUUCAUUUAUGGUACUUGGAGAGAGGCUGGCCGUGAUGAAUUCGAUUCAUCAAAGCGAGUCAUACACGGCUCUCCUCUCUUUUAGUAUCAAAUUCUGCCUCGGAGGGCUGCCUGAGCUAGUGCUGAUGGCGAGGUAUGUGCCCUGCUGGCUGAGCCCUCGGCAAGUGCUUUCCUGAGGAUGCACGCUACCUACGCACUAACCCAGUGUCCGCACUGACCCUAAGGCGACUUUCUGGGGCACUACCAACUUUAGGAGAAGCUAGAGAGGUUGUGGGGAUGCUUAACUUGUAAAGAAAUUAACAUUGAAAUGCACAUGGCUAACUUUCUUUGCUAUCAAAUGCAACCUUGAAGGGGCAUGUAGAAGCAUCUUUUCUUAGUCAGCUCUCGGGAUAUAGAAGAGAACAGGACAUAGGACCUGCAUGACCCCUCAUUUACUAGCCUGCAGCAGCCCUACCUCCUCCAGGGAACUCCUGGGUGACCCCAGGUUUACCAAGGAGGCAGCGGUUAACCUGUUCUUGCAAACCUGUGGUCUUUCAAGAGCUCUUUGCUUCGUUUAGAAUGACUCCUAAGUGGCUGACUUCUUUGCAUUACUGAGUGUUGCUUGCAUGCUAGCCAAGUACAGGAAGUGGCCUUCCUGUUCACACUAAUCCCGGAUUGGUGAACCAGGGCUUGGCCGGAGAGCAUGGGUUUGAUUUAGGAAUUGAACCAGUUGGUCCACUCAUCCUCAGUGUCCCAUCCACCCUCAGAGCCACUCCCAAGCUGCCCAGACUUCGUGGAUGCAGGGAUGCUGUGAGCAGUGCCACCUCAUGGUACUUGGAGGGA